AGCUAGGUGGUGUAGCGGUCAAGCAUCGGGGCCUCUGGAGUCUCGGACGGCGGUUCGAAUCCGCCCCUAGCUACCA
This 76-nucleotide transfer RNA is filed under the name Candidatus Freyarchaeota archaeon. Its description in RNAcentral is "tRNA-Gln". It matches the Rfam family "tRNA". From Rfam's summary of the family: Transfer RNA (tRNA) molecules are approximately 80 nucleotides in length. Their secondary structure includes four short double-helical elements and three loops (D, anti-codon, and T loops). Further hydrogen bonds mediate the characteristic L-shaped molecular structure. tRNAs have two regions of fundamental functional importance: the anti-codon, which is responsible for specific mRNA codon recognition, and the 3' end, to which the tRNAs corresponding amino acid is attached (by aminoacyl-tRNA synthetases). tRNAs cope with the degeneracy of the genetic code in two manners: having more than one tRNA (with a specific anti-codon) for a particular amino acid; and 'wobble' base-pairing, i.e. permitting non-standard base-pairing at the 3rd anti-codon position. RNAcentral also lists the same sequence under 1 other name. Lineage: Archaea; Promethearchaeati; Candidatus Freyarchaeota. The record is from RNAcentral.